Heterocephalus glaber (naked mole-rat) is the source of this 1723-nucleotide long non-coding RNA. Lineage: Eukaryota; Metazoa; Chordata; Mammalia; Rodentia; Bathyergidae. The record is from Ensembl.
CACGAUGUAGAGGGCUGACUGGGUGGCAUGAUCUUACACCUGUGGAAUCUGCAAAAUGGACCCUAUGGAAGCAGCGCAGAAUGACAAUUACUAGAGACUGGGAGAGGGAAGAAGUUUUAGAGGUUUCAGUUCAUGGUCACCUGGCUUCAAGGCAGAAGCGUCUUGGCAGUGGGACAUGGAGAAGGAAACCUGCUCACCUGUGGUAGCUGGGAAGCGAAGGCAAGAGCCAGAGAAAAGGGGGCCAUUGACAAACUAGAGUCCUCCAAAUCACACUCCCUGACCCACUCCCUUCACCUAACCCUGCCACCUGUUUCCACGGUCUUCCAACAAUACUAUCAGAGCAUUAUCUCAUCAGUUGAAUAAUCCACUGAUAAAUUUAGAGCCCGUAUAUCCAAUUGCCUUCGGAAAGGGGAGAGGUAUUUUAGAUCUAAACCAUGACAACUGUGUAUUUCAAAAUAACUAAAGAGCAGAUUCAAAUGGAUUUCUUUGGUUUAAUUAUUCUAAGAAGAUGAACCAUGAGGUAAUUUAAGGGAAGAACUAGUUUUGUGCAGAAUGUGGAUAAAUGGAAAGGACCACAAUUUUAAUACAGAGAAUGUGUAAUCGAAGAGCCCAAGUCAGAAAUUCUCCUCACCGGAUCCCUUACAGUACUAUGGAAGGACUGGUCUCAGCAGGGAUGUGUGUCACAAAUAUGGAAGACUGGGAAUCAAACGAGGUUUGAACAGUAUCAUUCAAUCUACAAAUAUUUGCCUUCAAAAUACCUUUUUCACACAUGCAACACUGGUCUCAUAUUUUGAGACACUUCCAAUUUACAAAGCUUCAUCUCUGCGGUUCCUUGAUGUAGGCUGAGCACACGUUAACCACACUGUUUUUCAGAGGGACUGAAGUCUGGGAAGGCUCAGUGACUUGGCAGAGAUCACAUAAUCAGCAACCAGCGGGUCCUCUGGCUCUGCUACAGCUGCCUCAAGACUACAGAGCAAGGCAAGCUACACCUGCCAUGAAUUUCCAUAUUCCACUUCUAAUGGUGCCGCAGGCUGUCCCCUCAUAUAAUUAGCUCCUCUGUGGAACCCGGUGUAUCUAGGACAAAGACAGUGGAUCUGCUUGAAUGGAAUAAGUAGUGAAGAGCUGAGCUCUAUCCACUGGGAAAUCCCUGAACAACAGCGAUCAAACUUUGAGGUUCUAAAGUAUAAGUAUGAGGACUACUUCUUACAUUAUUUAAAAUUUUUCUCUCAAUUACCUUAUGCUGUGGGUAUUAUUUCCCCUAUUUCCCUCUCUUGGGUGGGGAAAACAUAAGUAACUUAAAGAUGGCAGAGGGAGGAUUUAAACUCACACCAAUCUGAUUCUUAAAUUCAGGUUCAUGGCCCAGGAUGUAGCUCAGUGGUGGAGUACUUGCCUCACAUGCAUGAGGCCCUGAGUUGGAGCUACAGAACCGCCAAGAGAAAAUGCAGAUUUGGCCCACAGCAGGUAUGUACUCCUGGUGCCCAACUGGUCUAACUCCACACACCAUCAAACCCAUCCUGCUACUUUCCCAGACCAGCAUCCAUGCUCAUGACACAACUUCCCCUUGAAUCUCAGUGAUGAACGUUCUUGGAACCAAAUGCUGGGGAAAGCUGAAUGUGCCUAGCUGCUGAAAUGCCUUUGAUUUUGUGACUAAAUAGUUCCAUGUACAUGUGCAUCUUGUUCUCUAUGUAAUCUGUUAUAAAGUAAAAGAAGUUUUGGUGUUGAG